CAUGGGUAGCAAACAGGAUUUGGUACCCUGGUAGUCCAUGCUAUAAACUAUGAAUAUUAAAUAUUAAAACAUUUUUUUUUUUAAUAUUAAAAGUUAACACGUUAAAUAUUUCGCCUGGGGAGUAAAACCGCAAGGUUGAAACUCAAAGGAAUUGACGGGAGCUUAUACUUACGGUGGAGCAUGUGGUUUAAUCCGAUAGUCCGCGUGAAAUCUUACCAAUUUUUGACAAAUUAUAUGUUUUAAAAUAUAUUACAGGUGUUGCAUGGCCGUCGUCAGCUUAUGUUUUGAAAUUUCUGAUAUAAGUAUAACCCUUAUUUUAAUUUGCUAAUAUUUAAAAGAAUUAUUAUUUUAAAAUAAUUUAUUAAAUAAGAACUAUUAAAUUUAACAAAAUUAUUUUUGUUAAAAAGGAUGAAGAUAGGUCGUUAUGACCCUCAUAAAUU
This 440-nucleotide ribosomal RNA is filed under the name Blastocystis sp. RNAcentral's name for it is "partial small subunit ribosomal RNA". It matches the Rfam family "Bacterial small subunit ribosomal RNA", at positions 760 to 1210 of the family's 1533-position model. The record is from RNAcentral. Lineage: Eukaryota; Bigyra; Opalinata; Blastocystidae.